Molecule: long non-coding RNA, 3579 nt
Organism: Cebus imitator (Panamanian white-faced capuchin)
Lineage: Eukaryota; Metazoa; Chordata; Mammalia; Primates; Cebidae
Source: Ensembl
AUGACAAAUUUUGCUUUGAGAUGUUUCUUGUUAUGUUUAUCCUUUGCAGAACCUGAUGAUUUGGAAACAGAAAUUCUACAAGAGCCAAGUGGAACAAACAAAGAUGAGAGCUUGUCAUGCACUAUUACUGAUGUGUGGAUUAGCGAGGAAAAGGAAACAAAGGAAACUCAGUUGGAAGAUAGGAUCACCAUUCAGCAAAAUGAAGUUUCUGAAGAUGGAGUCUCGAGUACUGUGGACCAACUUAGUCACAUUCAUAUAGAAACUGGAACCAAUGAUUCUCAGCACUCUGAAUGUGAUGUAGAUAAGUCUGUGCAACCAGAACCAUUUUUCCAUAAGGUGGUUCACUCUGAACACUUGAACUUGGUCUCUCAAGUUCAGUCAGUUCAGUGUUCACCAGAAGAGUCCUUUCCAUUUCGAUCUCACUCGCAUUUACCACCAAAAAAUACAAACAAGAACUCCUUGCUGAUUGGACUUUCAACUGGUCUGUUUGAUGCAAACAACCCAAAGAUGUUAAGGACAUGUUCACUUCCAGAUCUCUCAAAGCUGUUCAGAACCCUGAUGGACGUUCCCACCAUAGGAGAUGUUCGUCAAGACAAUCUUGAAAUAGAUGAAAUUGAAGAUGAGCAUAUUAAAGAAGGACCUUCUGAUUCUGAAGACAUUGUGUUUGAAGAAACUGACACAGAUUUACAAGAGCUGCAGGCAUCGAUGGAACAGUUACUUAGGGAACAGCCUGGUGAAGAAUACAGUGAAGAAGAAGAGUCAGUCUUAAAGAACAGUGAUGUGGAGCCAGCUGCAAAUGGGACAGAUGUGGCAGAUGAAGAUGACAACCCCAGCAGUGAAAGUGCCCUGAACGAAGAAUGGCACUCAGAUAACAGUGAUGGUGAAACUACUAGUGAAUGUGAAUACGAUAGUGUCUUUAACCAUUUAGAGGAACUGAGACUUCAUCUGGAGCAGGAAAUAGGCUUUGAAAAAUUCUUUGGGGUUUAUGAGAAAAUAAAGGCUAUUCAUGAAGAUGAAGAUGAAAAUAUUGAAAUUUGUUCAAAAAUAGUUCAAAAUAUUUUGGGAAAUGAACAUCAGCAUCUUUAUGCCAAGAUUCUUCAUUUAGUCAUGGCAGAUGGAGCCUACCAAGAAGAUAAUGAUGAAUAAUCCUCAAAAUGUUUUUUAAUCCUCAACUGUAUGAAAGCAUUUGAAUUUGGCUCAUCAGAAUAACAAGCUUCAGUGGGAAAUACAGCAAUUAUUUGUUUUAAAAAUCAGAUUUAAGAUGGGCAUGCUUACUGCAUGAAAAAGAUGGAGAAACAUGCCAUUUUUCAGUGACGAUUCUAACAUUUUUUAUCUAUUUUAUUUUGUUCAUUGAAUUAUAUGGUUAAAUCCUGUAAAAUAUAUGCUUUAUUAAAUCAUUGAACCAAAGCAUAGGAAAUGUUGACCCAAAAAGUGACUUAAUGGUUUUGAAGAUUUACUAUGCAACAGGGUAACUUUGACUUUCAGCAAAUGUCUUUAGGUUGAAGGAAUUACCUACGUUAUGAAAGACCUCCCUGUGGUUUUUCAAUGAAGUCUUUAAGCAUGACCUUUUUUCUGUCUAAUACUUGCUUUCAUUUUGCCCAGCAGUUCUACAUUAAAUAACCUUGUCAAGGGCUCUAUUUAAAUGGAUACAUUUUGAAGAUGAAAUUUUUAGCCUUAAAGUUUAUAUUCUCAAGUCCUUUUACAACCAGUGUGUCUCCUGAACUAGCACAUAGGCUGUAAAAACAGUCUUAGAAAUCACUGAAAGAUUUGAUUAUGAAAGAAUAGUCAAAUAAAAGUUGGUUUAAUGCCUUUAUUUCUCUUUAAGGCCCAGAACCAGGAAUACUAUAUCUAAAAAUUAGUCUGCGGAUUUAACAUUGACCUAGCAUAUAGCUUGAAGUUGCUCUUUUGGUUUUUAACUUCCUCUUAUACAUAUGCUUCAAGGACAACAUGAUGUUAAAAAGGAGGAAGGAAUUAUUUCUAUUUUGACACUGUGACAGUUUUGGCAACCAGCAUCCUAGGGAGAGAAAUGUUUGUCUCUUGAACUUCUUUCCAUUAUGAGAGGAUUUAGUUAGGUCAUUAGGAUGAUGGUCACAGAGCUUCAAUUGCAAUAUGCCAAGUAUAACAUGGUUUUGUUAGAGGUGUCUACAGUCCAGAUGUUUUUCAUAAUAAAAGCAAAAUUUUGAACCUCUGAGUUCAAAGCAGGCUGGUUGGCAUAAUAUGUAAUUUGGAAAAUAAAAUCUUACCUUGCAGCACCAAUCAGCAUGUUAAAUUUAUUAUGUAUAUUACUUCUAACAUCUGAAACUAAAUACUUGAUUUUUAUAUGUGUUUAUUUUAUGAUAUUGCUAUUAAAUUUUUAUUAUUUACCUGAAGUGUAUCAUUGAUUGUCUUUUAUUUAUUAGCACUUUUCUCAAUAGAAGGCUUUUACGUCAAGCUGAGAAUAGUUUUUUGGUUUUGUACCUGAUUAUGUCUUUUUCUUCUUAAUAAAAGAGUUGAAUUUUGCACUUUAAUUCUCUGCAAUCCUGAAAGAUGGUAAUGAUUUUGGGGAGGUUAUGUGUUAAUUCUUAAACUAUUAUAACUGUUAGAAAAAUGAGGGUAUAAUAUGGUAGAAAACAAUUGUUUCAGCCAUAUGUCAAAAGAUGUCAUAUGCAGCAGUAACGGUGAUAAACAGGAUUUGUGCUGUCUCCAAUCGAUUUCCAGUGUGUGGCUCUGAAGAGUUAUUAUGGAAGGAUUAUGCCAGUGAGGAAGAGGGCUAUUAUUGUUCAGUAAUGCCUGUUAUAAGUGUUGGAGUUGACAUGUGGAAGCAUCUGUAGAUUCAUAAAUGUUAGCAUUGGAUGGACUAUUGGGAUAACUUUGUCUUUUCUCAUUUAAUCUUCAAGGAUAUUGAGUUGAACAUGAAAUUAAGUCACCUGUGUAAAGGGUCAGGGUCAGACCAACUCCUAGGUCUUACACUUAUUACUUGGACAUUCUUAUCUCUCCUAGAGAAUCAAAAAGAAUAAAUUUGAUAGGAAAUAGUAUACUUGGCAUUAAUGCAUUAAGAAUUCUACAGGCCAAUCCUGGUCAACAUGGUGAAACCCCGUCUCUACUAAAAAUACAAAAAAUCAGCUGGGCAUGGUGGCGCAUGCCUGUAAUCCCAGCUACUCAGGAGGCUGAGGCAGGAGAAUUGCCUGAACCCAGGAGGCGGAGGUUGCGGUGAGCCGAGAUUGCGCCAUUGCACUCCAGCCUGGGUAACAAGAGUGAAACUCCGUCUCAAAAAAAAAAAGAAUUCUACAGGCCAGGUACAGUGGCUCAUGCCUGUAAACCCAGCACACUGGGAGACAGAGGUGGGAGGAUCACUUGAAGCCAGGAGUACAAGACCAGCCUAGGCAACUAAGUGAGACCUCAUCUCUACAACAAAUAAAGUUAGCUGGACACAGUGGUGUGCACCUGUAGUCCCAGCUACUCAGGAGGCUGAAGCAGAAGAAUUGCUUGAGCCCAGGAGUUCAAGGCUACAGUGAGCUAUGGUCACAUCACUGCUCUCCUGCCUGGGCAACAGAGCAAGACUCCAUCACUUUAAAAAAUCAGCCAGGUACAAUGGCUCAC